GGGCCCGCACAAGCGGUGGAGCAUGUGGUUUAAUUCGAUGAUACGCGAGGAACCUUACCAGGGCUUAAAUGUAAUGGGACAGAUUCAGAGAUGAAUUUUUCUUCGGACUCAUUACAAGGUGCUGCAUGGUUGUCGUCAGCUCGUGCCGUGAGGUGUCAGGUUAAGUCCUAUAACGAGCGCAACCCCCAUCGUUAGUUGCCAACGAGUAAUGUCGGGAACUCUAACGAAACUGCCGGUGCAAACCGUGAGGAAGGUGGGGAUGACGUCAAAUCAUCACGGCCCUUACGUCCUGGCUACACACGUGCUACAAUGGUCGGUACAGAGAGCAGCCACUUCGCGAGAAG
RNAcentral lists this ribosomal RNA (344 nucleotides) under uncultured bacterium. RNAcentral describes it as "bacterial SSU rRNA". It matches the Rfam family "Bacterial small subunit ribosomal RNA", at positions 917 to 1264 of the family's 1533-position model. The record is from RNAcentral.